This 26-nucleotide non-coding RNA is filed under the name Cricetulus griseus (Chinese hamster). Lineage: Eukaryota; Metazoa; Chordata; Mammalia; Rodentia; Cricetidae. The record is from RNAcentral.
AUCGUGGAAGUGGAUCAAGGGGAAGG